Molecule: ribosomal RNA, 489 nt
Filed under: uncultured bacterium
Lineage: Bacteria
Description: partial 16S ribosomal RNA
Rfam family: Bacterial small subunit ribosomal RNA
Source: RNAcentral
UGAACGCUGGCUACAGGCUUAACACAUGCACGUCGAGGGGAAACGACGGGGAAGCUUGCUUCCCCGGGCGUCGACCGGCGCACGGGUGAGUAACGCGUAUCCAACCUGCCUCUGACUGAGGGAUAACCCGUCGAAAGUCGGCCUAAUACCUCAUGGCAUCGUCUGCGGGCAUCCAACGACGAUUAAAGAUUUCAUCGGUCAGAGAUGGGGAUGCGUCUGAUUAGCUUGUUGGCGGGGUAACGGCCCACCAAGGCGACGAUCAGUAGGGGUUCUGAGAGGAAGGUCCCCCACAUUGGAACUGAGACACGGUCCAAACUCCUACGGGAGGCAGCAGUGAGGAAUAUUGGUCAAUGGGCGAGAGCCUGAACCAGCCAAGUAGCGUGCAGGAUGACGGCCCUAUGGGUUGUAAACUGCUUUUAUGCGGGGAUAAAGUGAGGGACGUGUCCUUCAUUGCAGGUACCGCAUGAAUAAGGACCGGCUAAUUCCGUG